GAAUAUAUAAUUGAACAUUUAGAUAUAACAAUUUCACUAUGUGUAAUAAUGAUGGAAGGUAGGAGAUUUUUAGUGUUACAAAAAUUGGUAUAGGAGGUAUUGGAAAAAGAAAGUGUGGCGUGUCAUUCGGGGUGCUCGUAUACAUUUGCAAGGCAAGCUGAGAAAUAUAUUCAUUAUUCACCUUACAAAGCUCAGUAAGGCAAGCUGAGAAAUAUAUCCAUUAUUCACCUUACAUAGCUCAGUAUGGUGUUAACACCAAAAACUUAUAUUAUAUGCAUACAGACAUAAAAUUCAUAUGUGCAAGAAACUUCUAUUUUUGGUGUUUCUAUUUCGCUGCUAACAAUGUAACUAAAUUUAUACAUAUGUGGAAGAAACUUCUAUUUUUCGUGUUUCUA
Molecule: long non-coding RNA, 395 nt
Organism: Cryptomeria japonica (Japanese cedar)
Lineage: Eukaryota; Viridiplantae; Streptophyta; Pinopsida; Cupressales; Cupressaceae
Exons: 2
Source: RefSeq, a predicted model, not a curated record